UCAUUACUGUCAGUCAGACAGAAAUAAAAGAAAAAUGGAUGCCGUUCAGACGUACACGCAUUAUUUGGAACUGAAAAUUACGUAAUUUAUCGACCUGCUGGCUUGUAUUUGUUAUAAAUCAUAAAAAAAUUAUGGAAAACAUCAUGAACAAUAAUGAAACAAACCGAACCUUUAGCUACAAUAAUAAAAUGACCCCAUGACGCCAGUGGAACUACGUGGUUUUCUUUCAUGAUGAUUUGAUGAUACCAUAAUGGAAUUAGCCAAGUUUUCGCCGUAUUGGGUGCUAGAUGCCCCUUGGAGUUAAGCCCCAGUGCCACUAUACUACCUUACCAGUUAUGUGUGGGUGUUAUAGUCCUAAGACACCCCGGAGGUACAAAGGGCCUUCACAAACUCACGCCACGCCUUCCUAUCUUCAGCGACCCUCGUGACCUCGCUGCCACUCACAGCUCCUUUUCGACGGACCGCUUCCAUGAGUAGACAAGGCACCGACGAUCACGGCUUGCAUCACCUGUACUGCUUCGUAAUAUAGUAUGCUGAACACCGCUGCCAUUAUACUAGGAACAACGUCCUGCCCCUUCCCCGGCUGCGCACAAAUUGGAACUCCAUGCCCCUGCAUGCCCCUUCGACUGAGCAACGUGUGUGUGCUCGAAACACAUUCACUUGCAACAAAAUGACUCCCAGGCUGACCUGGCUCAGCUUUUGUAUGUCUGAUCUACAUAGACAAUGGUUUCAAUGAAAGAGUGAAAAUUCUUCUCCAUGUACAAUCACUUCCAACGCCUACACUGACUACACCAAAUAUGAUCAUCACUCAACGUGUCUCAUAUCAAGAUACUUUUUAAAAGUCAUCAAGAAGGAACAUAAUAUCUUUUCCCAUGGUUUCCUGAAUAAUCCUAACUAAAAGUUACUUCUCUAUUCUAUUUUUCCUGCAUGGAGUGGCGCUUUUCCGUCUAAUGGAACCAACAAGAACAUGUAUGCUCUGGGUUUUUUUUGUGCACCUUUCCGAUAUUACUAAUAAAGCAUUU
Molecule: long non-coding RNA, 1022 nt
Filed under: Leguminivora glycinivorella
Lineage: Eukaryota; Metazoa; Arthropoda; Insecta; Lepidoptera; Tortricidae
Description: uncharacterized LOC125226611
Source: RNAcentral